AUGAAACAUCACAGUUUCCAUCUCUGUCUCUCUUUAGCUGCGGCUCGUCCCGCUCUCACAGUGCUGCUGCCCUCCAGAGACGAGCUGCAGCAGGGGAAGGCUACAGUGCUGUGUGUGGCCAGUAAGGGAUACCCCUCUGACUGGAAGCUGAGCUGGAAGGUGGACUGCAGCAGCAGGAGCUCUGGUGUGGAUCUGAGUCCCAGUCAGCUGCAGAAGGAUGGACUGUACAGCUGGAGCAGCAGCCUGAGCCUCACUGAGAGUGAGUGGAGCAGAGCAGCAACCGUCAGCUGUGAAGCCACGACUGCAAUUCUCUGAAAGUUUUGUUGCUCAUUUUAUUCUC
Carassius gibelio (silver crucian carp) is the source of this 340-nucleotide non-coding RNA. The record is from the annotation of a RefSeq genome assembly. NCBI's taxonomy places the organism in Eukaryota, Metazoa, Chordata, Actinopteri, Cypriniformes, Cyprinidae.